Molecule: non-coding RNA, 3554 nt
Organism: Kogia breviceps (pygmy sperm whale)
Lineage: Eukaryota; Metazoa; Chordata; Mammalia; Artiodactyla; Physeteridae
Source: RefSeq, a predicted model, not a curated record
UGCUUGCCGUCCUUCUGGGGAUCCCGGGGUUGCUCGGCUCGCCGCCCUCGGCGGUUGCAGUCGUCGUCGUGCAGGCCUGCGGCGGUCGCCCAUGGAGAAGAACGGGCGGGGCGGCGAUAGCGCCCCCCGGGGGCCCGUACUGCACAUCGCGGUGGUCGGCUUUCAUCACAAGAAGGGCUGCCAGGUUGAAUUCUCUUACCCGCCCCUGAUUCCAGGAGAUGGACAUGACAGUCACACUCUACCUGAAGAAUGGAAGUAUUUGCCCUUCCUUGCCUUACCAGAUGGCGCACACAACUACCAAGAAGAUACUGUGUUUUUUCACUUGCCACCCAGAAAUGGAAAUGGAGCCACUGUAUAUGGUAUCUCUUGCUAUCGACAAAUUGAAGCCAAGGCAUUGAAAGUACGGCAAGCAGAUAUCACCAGAGAGACCGUUCAGAAAAGUGUCUGUGUUCUAAGCAAGCUGCCUCUCUAUGGCUUACUUCAAGCAAAACUUCAACUCAUUACGCAUGCAUAUUUUGAAGAGAAGGAUUUUUCCCAAAUUGCCAUUCUAAAGGAGCUCUAUGAACAUAUGAAUAGCUCCCUGGGAGGAACUUCAUUAGAAGGAUCCCAGGUAUAUCUUGGUCUAUCUCCUCGAGAUCUUGUGCUUCAUUUUCGACACAAGGUCCUAAUCCUGUUUAAACUAAUUCUUCUUGAAAAAAAGGUUCUCUUUUAUAUUUCUCCAGUGAAUAAAUUGGUGGGUGCCCUGAUGACGGUGUUAUCCCUUUUUCCAGGCAUGAUUGAACAUGGUCUCAGUGAUAGUUCUCAAUAUAGACCCCGAAAGAGUAUGUCUGAAGAUGCUGGGCUUCAAGAAAGUAAUCCCCCUGAAGAUGAAUUUGUUUCUAUGCCUGCUCCUGACAUUUCAAAUACCAAUGUGGGAACUGUUGAGAAAAUCAUGUUGAGAAACCAUGGAAGAGAUACUGUCAUCAAGACUGAAGAACCUUUGUUCCAGGUAGAUGAUGACAGCACUGAAGGACAGGAACCCAAUAACAGCAAUCAAUAUUUGAAACCUCCUUCUCGCCCAUCUCCAGAGUCUUCAGAAAGUGACUGGGAGACCUUGGAUCCUAGUGUCUUAGAGGACUCCUCCUUGAAAGAAAGAGAACAGGUGGGAUCAGAACAGAGAAACUCAUUUCCAAAGGACUCUUUGCCCUCCGACAGUCCUCCGAUUACUGUACAACCUCAAGCUAACACAGGCCAGGUAGUCCUGAUACCAGGGCUAAUUUCUGGUUUGGAAGAGGACCAGUAUGGCAUGCCCCUGGCCAUCUUCACAAAGGGAUAUCUGUGUUUGCCUUAUAUGGCAUUGCAGCAGCAUCAUCUUCUCUCUGAUGUCACCAUUCGAGGAUUUGUUGCUGGAGCUACUAACAUCCUUUUUCGACAACAGAAACACCUCAGUGAUGCCAUUGUGGAAGUAGAAGAAGCUCUGAUCCAGAUCCAUGAUCCAGAACUUAGGAAGCUGCUUAACCCAACCACUGCAGACCUAAGGUUCGCAGAUUACCUAGUGAGGCAUGUGACCGAGAACCGGGAUGAUGUCUUCCUGGAUGGCACGGGCUGGGAGGGAGGUGACGAAUGGAUUCGAGCCCAGUUUGCAGUCUACAUCCAUGCACUGCUGGCCGCCACACUGCAGUUAGAUAAUGAAAAGAUCUUAUCAGACUAUGGGACGACCUUUGUUACAGCAUGGAAGAACACUCACAACUACAGGGUCUGGAACAGCAACAAGCAUCCAGCACUUGCAGAAAUAAAUCCGAACCAUCCUUUCCAAGGCCAGUAUUCAGUGUCAGACAUGAAGUUAAGAUUCUCACAUUCUGUUCAAAACAGUGAACGUGGCAAAAAACUUGGAAACGUCAUGGUCACAACGAGUCGGAAUGUUGUGCAAACAGGAAAAGCUGUUGGCCAGUCAGUUGGAGGAGCUUUUUCCAGUGCAAAGACAGCCAUGUCUUCAUGGCUUUCUACUUUCACCAGUUCGACUCCACAGAGUCUCACUGAGCUGCCUGACGGGAAAUCCUGAGCAGAGCAAGCCACCCAGAAGCUGCUGUUGCUUUCUUAGGUUUAAGCGUCCCCUGUCUGCCUGCUGCUCCCAGACUGUCCUCCUCAUCGACCACAGGUCCACAGCAGGGACCUAUAGGUCAGACUGUUUACAUGGACGGUUGCCCUCUGUGUAAAUGAAUGUCACGAGAUGCUGAAAAGACGAAACCAGAACCGUAGCAGGGACGGCUUCCCAGUGGACUUGGCCUGUUUUUCUAGAAGUACCCUUCAUGUUGUCAGUGUGGUUUCUGGCCUGCUUCACAGUUGGACAGAAGGGCCAGCUUCGUUUAUUAGGAAACCAGCGGAACUAAAGGACUCAUUGCUCGUUUUUUUUUUUACUCUCUUAUUUUGAAAAUACUUGUGGUGCUUCAGUUUGUGAGGUGGUGACCCUCACAGCAAGAAUGUUUAGUGCCUGAGGCUGCACAAAGUACAACCAAACGGAGUUUGGUCAUGCAGUAACAUCUUGUCACAUGCUCACGGACAGAAAUCCCCAGGGGACUAGGAUAUUGUCCCAAGCAACCCAUUUUUCCAUCCGUACUGGUGAGCUUCAAAAUAACCUUGACAUUUCCACUGAGGACUCCUAGUACAUUUUCACAUAUGUAUUUCCAUGUACCAUGGUUUCCUUAGAGCUGUUUUGCAAAACAGCUUCACAGAAGAAGGAGACAAAUUUCUUUGCUCCCAGGAAUGUGCGCUGCCUUGAGUACAGGGUUCAAUUUAAGGUACUAGUGUUCUUACAACGUGGACUGUUGCUGCCUGGAGCUGACAAGGUGACUCGGGCCGUAGAGCUCGACACCGCCAACGUCUCCCUUUUCCGAGGACCUGUUCCAGCUGCGCUUCAGGCUCUGCCGUGGUGAGGGGAUGGUCCCCCAUUGUCUCCCAGGUCAGAGCUGCCUGCUCUUCAUUCGGAUAGGAUGGGAGUUGCAAUGAUCAAACCUGGCAACAUCUGGAAGGAGCAUGAUUAUAGAGCCAGUCUCUUCCAAGGAAGCACACUUUGUGAAGGGCUCAUCUCCUCCUGUGGUCAUCACAGGCUUGGGGAACCGCUCUGCAGCAGGACUGAUCUGUCCAAGUUCACAAUCGACAGAUCCCCAGCUGACCUUCCAGUUCCGUGACUGACAGCCAACUCCAGUCGAGGCGGCUAAGGUCUAGUCAUCCAGCACAGGUCCUGUGCAAAACUUUGCCUCAGCGUGAGUUUUUGAAGACAGAGGAAGGAACCCAAUUUUUUUUACUUUGAAGGACUGCUGUUCUCCAAGUCUAGCAAUCACAUAAAUGACCGGUGGGUCCAGAACUGUCCUGUGCAGCCACAAGCCCUAAGGACUUUUAACACUGAAGCAGAGACUCACACUGGCCUCCAGAGAUCCAAGAUGUGCACAUCUUUGGCUACGCGCCCUGGGAAGUCACUUUCAAAACUAACCCAAGUCCCUCACACUGCAUUUUAAACCCUAUACCUUCUCCCCAUCAAGUAUUUGAGUGCCUGCUGUGUACACACACAGUACAUG